UCCAGGGUAGCCCGGGUGGCAUCUGCCUGGUAAGCGGAACACCGUGGGUUCGAUUCCCAUCCCUGGAC
Non-coding RNA from Cordylochernes scorpioides, 68 nucleotides. The record is from the annotation of a GenBank genome assembly. Lineage: Eukaryota; Metazoa; Arthropoda; Arachnida; Pseudoscorpiones; Chernetidae.